This 253-nucleotide ribosomal RNA is filed under the name uncultured bacterium. RNAcentral describes it as "partial 16S ribosomal RNA". It matches the Rfam family "Bacterial small subunit ribosomal RNA", at positions 524 to 776 of the family's 1533-position model. The record is from RNAcentral.
UACGAAGGGGGCUAGCGUUGUUCGGAAUUACUGGGCGUAAAGCGCACGUAGGCGGACUGAUAAGUCAGGGGUGAAAUCCCGGGGCUCAACCCCGGAACUGCCUUUGAUACUGUCAGUCUAGAGUUCGAGAGAGGUGAGCGGAAUUCCGAGUGUAGAGGUGAAAUUCGUAGAUAUUCGGAGGAACACCAGUGGCGAAGGCGGCUCACUGGCUCGAUACUGACGCUGAGGUGCGAAAGCGUGGGGAGCAAACAGG